ACCCUUCGGGAGGACGGUUACCACGGUGUGAUUCAUGACUGGGGUGAAGUCGUAACAAGGUAGCCGUAGGGGAACCUGCGGCUGGAUCACCUCCUUAAUCGACGA
This 105-nucleotide ribosomal RNA is filed under the name Pseudomonas edaphica. Its description in RNAcentral is "partial 16S ribosomal RNA". It matches the Rfam family "Bacterial small subunit ribosomal RNA", at positions 1437 to 1533 of the family's 1533-position model. Lineage: Bacteria; Pseudomonadati; Pseudomonadota; Gammaproteobacteria; Pseudomonadales; Pseudomonadaceae. The record is from RNAcentral.